AUUGGCUUUCGUCUCCCACCAUCAGAAUCCGAAUAGCGGCUCCUAGAGCCAAACCACAUUUUACACAUUAAGAAACUGUUUCUGGUAGUGUCGCUGGUACUAAGACAGGAUAAACAAUAUCGUGCCCUCCUGGUCACUGUUUUCAAACUGAAGAAGUUUAAAUGGUCCUUCAAGAAAGCAAACCAGCGAGAAAUAAUUUCCUUAUGUUUUAUUUUAAAUAAUGUGUAGAUGAUAAAGCUCUUUCCUCUUUGAAAUAAGACGAACACAAUUCCGAUUAAAUCGACGGAGAACUCACUUGACAUGCAUUUCACGGACCUCCACGGACUACUCCAAUAACAUAAGCCUGGCCUGUGGAGAGCAAACCCACCCAGCCAUCCACCCACCCACACAGUGUGAAAUCUACACCCCCUCAAGGAGAGCAGUGAGGUCACAGAAGACGAAAGCACCAUUGUGCAGUCAGAGGGAUGGAGGACAGGAGGCACCUGCCACCAGAUGGAGGUGGCAAUGCCAAACGUUCUGCCUCAGCCAAUUGUGACACAGAGGAUAGAGCGGUCAGGAAGGAGCAGGGUGACCCUGAGACCUCCACACAAAUGUGUGUGAGAAAAGACGAUCUCUCCGAUGUUCCUCGCAAGGUGCCUCGUUUCCAGUAUGUGGAUUUCCCUUCCCUGCACCAGUGCAUCCAACAGCUUUCUGUGCCUCCACUGAACGGCUGGCUGGGAUCCUGCUCGUUGGCAAAGGCACCAAAGUACAGGCCUGCCAGUCCUAAGGAAAAGGUGCCCAAGUUUAAAUACGUGGACUACCCAUCUCUCCACCACUGCAUUCAGCAGCUGUCUGUGCCUCCAUUGGAAAACUGGAGUGCAGGGCUGGUCAGGUUUAAUGUAGACGGGAAACAGGACGGCUCUGGGUCACAGAAGAGGCCCACUCAACCUGGGACUGUGAAGAAUAACAUAAGUAAUGAGGCAGGAGAUCAAAACAAGGAGGACAGGAGUAGAGUUAUAUCAUUUUCUUUCCCAAGAGACACACACAACUCAGUCUCAGGCAAGGAGGAGAGGCCUCAACACGACUACACCUCAGAGAUUGCAGAUCAAGAGCAGAAUCUGGUUCUGGAUCUCGUAGCGAUGCAGCAGUGGUGA
RNAcentral lists this long non-coding RNA (1133 nucleotides) under Sinocyclocheilus anshuiensis. Its description in RNAcentral is "lncRNA (ENSSANG00000008298.1)". Lineage: Eukaryota; Metazoa; Chordata; Actinopteri; Cypriniformes; Cyprinidae. The record is from RNAcentral.